This 114-nucleotide ribosomal RNA is filed under the name Pogona vitticeps (central bearded dragon). The record is from RNAcentral. Lineage: Eukaryota; Metazoa; Chordata; Lepidosauria; Squamata; Agamidae.
ACCAAAGGCAAGGCCUGAGAUGUAUCACCCUGAAUAUGCUUUUGGAAGCUAAGCAUGGUUGCCUCUGGUUAGUAUUUGGAUGGGCGGCCACCAGCAAAUACCAGGGGCCCGGUC